AGAGCGCAAGGGGAAUGCCUUGGCAUCAGGAGCCGAAGAAGGACGUGACAAGCUGCGAUAAGCUGCGGUGAGGAGCAAAUAUCCUUUGACCCGCAGAUCUCCGAAUGGGGCAACCCGGCUGGACAAUAUCCAGUCAUCCUGCAUUGAAUCAAAUAGGUGUAGGAAGGGAACCGUCUGAACUGAAACAUCUAAGUAGGACGAGGAAGAGACAUCAACCGAGAUUCCGCAAGUAGUGGCGAGCGAACGCGGAAGAGGCCAAACCGGAGGAUCAAUUCUCCGGGGUUGCGGACAGUCAUUUAGCAGAAGAUAUCUAACCGAAGGGUCUGGGAAGGCCCACCACAGAGGGUGAGAGUCCCGUAGGUGAAAGAGAAGGCUGUGAGACUGAAUCCAGAGUACCGCAGGACACGUGAAACCCUGCGGGAAACAGGGGGGACCACCCUCCAAGCCUAAAUACUACCUGAUGACCGAUAGAGGAGCAGUACCGUGAGGGAAAGGUGAAAAGGACCCCGGGAGGGGAGUGAAAGAGAACCUGAAACCUUGUGCUUACAAGCACUCAAAGCACGUUAAAGUGUGAUGAGGUACUUUUUGUAGAACGGUCCGGCGAGUUAUUGUAUGUAGCGAGCUUAAGGUGUUCAGCACCGGAGGCGAAGCGAGAGCGAGUCUGAAUAGGGCGACACAGUUGCAUGCAAUAGACCCGAAACCAGGUGACCUAUCCAUGGGCAGGUUGAAGUGGGGGUAAAACCCCAUGGAGGACCGAACCGACCCCCGUUGCAAUGGUGGCGGAUGACCUGUGGAUAGCGGAGAAAUUCUAAUCGAACUUGGAGAUAGCUGGUUCUCCCCGAAAUAGCUUUAGGGCUAGCGUUGAUUUAGAUUACCGGAGGUAAAGCACUGAAUGGGCUAGGGGCUGAUAAAGUUACUGAACCCUAUCAAACUAAGAAUGCCGGCAAAUUGAUGAUCAGCAGUCAGACUACGUGAGAUAAGUCUCGUGGUCAAAAGGGAAACAGCCCAGACCCACAGCUAAGGUCCCAAAUAAUUGCUAAGUGGAAAACGAUGUGAGAUUGCCCAGACAACCAGGAUGUUGGCUUAGAAGCAGCCACACAUUAAAAGAGUGCGUAAUAGCUCACUGGUCGAGUGGUCUUGCGCGGAAAAUAUAACGGGGCUAAGCAGUUAACCGAAGCUUGGGCUUGCCGAAGGCAGGGGUAGGGGAGCGUCGAAUACGGGGUGAAGUCGCAGCGGGAGCAGCGGUGGACUGUAUUCGAGUGAGAAUGCCGGAAUGAGUAGCGAGAAUUAUGUGGGAAUCAUAAUGGCCGAAAAUCUAAGGUUUCUUGGGGAAGGUUCGUCCGCCCAAGGUAAGCCGGGAGCUAAGGCGAGGCCGAAAGGCGUAGUCGAUGCACAUACGGUAGAAAUUCCGUAGCCACCGAACUUUAAGUCAGAGGGACACUUUUGGAUAGCGGAACCCGGGCGUUGGUUGACCCGGGCGAAAGGGAGCGAAAAUAUAGUAGCGAAGUCCGCGAUGCUGAGAGGCGAGAAAAGCUCUGAUGGAUACUAAGGUGCCCGUACCGCAAACCGACACAGGUAGAUGAGGAGAGAAUCCUAAGGCCAACGGGAGAAGGGUUGUUAAGGAACUCGGCAAAAUGACCCCGUAACUUCGGGAUAAGGGGAGCCUCCUACGGGAGGCCGCAGCGAAUAGGCCCAAGCGACUGUUUACCAAAAACACAGGUCUCUGCUAAAUCGAAAGAUGACGUAUAGGGGCUGACGCCUGCCCGGUGCUGGAAGGUUAAGAGGAGAUGUUAGCCGCAAGGCGAAGCAUUGAAUCGAAGCCCCAGUAAACGGCGGCCGUAACUAUAACGGUCCUAAGGUAGCGAAAUUCCUUGUCAGGUAAGUUCUGACCCGCACGAAUGGCGUAACGAUAUGGGCGCUGUCUCGGCGAGAGGCUCGGCGAAAUUGGAUUAUCCGUGAAGAUACGGAUUACGUGUACCAGGACAGAAAGACCCUAUUGAGCUUUACUGUAGCUUGAAAUUGAAUUCGGGUUCUUAUUGUGCAGUAUAGGUGGGAGACUAUGAAACUAGGACGUCAGUUUUAGUGGAGUCAUCGUUGAGAUACCACUCUGUAAUAAUUUGAAUUCUAACCUUGAUCCCUCAAACAACAGGGCAAGGAACAGUUUCUGGUAGGCAGUUUGACUGGGGCGGUCGCCUCCUAAAAUGUAACGGAGGCGUUCAAAGGUUCCCUCAGGUUGGUCGGAAAUCAACCGUUGAGUGUAAUAGCACAAGGGAGCUUGACUGCGAGACCUACAAGUCGAGCAGGUACGAAAGUAGGAUAUAGUGAUCCGGUGGUUCUGUAUGGAAGGGCCAUCGCUCAUCGGAUAAAAGUUACCAUAGGGAUAACAGGCUUAUCUCCCCCAAGAGUCCACAUCGACGGGGAGGUUUGGCACCUCGAUGUCGGCUCGUCGCAUCCUGGAGCGGUAGUACGUUCCAAGGGUUGGGCUGUUCGCCCAUUAAAGCGGCACGCGAGCUGGGUUCAGAACGUCGUGAGACAGUUCGGUCCAUAUCCGGUAUACGCGCAAGAGAUUUGAACGGAGUCUUCCUUAGUACGAGAGGACCGGGAAGAGGGGACCUCCAGUGUACGGGUUAUCGCGCCAGCGGUAAACGCCCGGUAGCUGUGUUCCAAGCGGAUAAGUGCUGAAAGCAUAUAAGUACGAAGCCCACCGUAAGAUAAGAUCUCUCAUAGCAUAAGCUAGUAAGUUCCCAGACAGAUCAUCUGGUUGA
This 2765-nucleotide ribosomal RNA is filed under the name human gut metagenome. Its description in RNAcentral is "bacterial LSU rRNA". It matches the Rfam family "Bacterial large subunit ribosomal RNA". The record is from RNAcentral.